Non-coding RNA from Paramuricea clavata, 760 nucleotides. The record is from the annotation of a GenBank genome assembly. NCBI's taxonomy places the organism in Eukaryota, Metazoa, Cnidaria, Anthozoa, Malacalcyonacea, Plexauridae.
CGAAAUCUCGAAAACACGGAAUACUAAAAGCUGAAAUCCCUAAAAACACGGGGCAGUAUGCCCCCACACAAGUGGACUUCGGCCAUCUAUUCCCGUCUAAUAAGUGAUGAUAAAUUAUUGUCAAAUUUUUUUUUUGCGUUUUUUUCCUUUUCUUAUUUCAAAUACAAGUAUAGUUAGCAUAAAUUUUAGGGCAAAUUUGGAUGCUCAGAAUGCAGGAAAUUGCAUUUCCGGGUAUCAAAUUUCAAAAAUUUUCUGGGAGACCAUGCCCGCAGACCCCCAUAUGGUUCAUGCGUGGUAUGUCGGCCACACGGCUAUCCCUUUUCAAAAAAUACCCCCCCCCCACCCCACCCCUCUCGAACAAAUAGUAUAUGUGUACUAUGCAAGCAAAGCGUUCGGGCAAACUAAUACUGUGCCUCCCCUCCAAACAAGAUUAGGCCCGUACGCCCAUGAAUUAAGUUUCUAACCGCAUUGUGUUAUAAUCGUUAUGUCAUGAAAAGAGAUGAAAUAAAUAUCAAAUCAUCACACUGAUUCAGUAGUUGUAUUAAGUCAAAACGAAUGAAACCAGGAAUGAAUGACCAAUAUAUACAUGUAAUUCAGAAAUAAAUAUUUACAUACUUUCAGUAUAGGCCGCAUGAAUAAUGAGAAUAUAUUUGCGGGUAUAAUCGGUAUAGGAAUUGUUGUGUAAGCACAUUUUACAAGCUUUAGCCGCAUGUUAUUUACGAAGGCGUUGGCCACAUAUUAAUCACGAUGGCUAAUUAAU